UACAGAGGUCCCAAGCGUUACUGAGAAUCACUGGGUUUAAAGGGUGCGUAGGUGGUCCGUUAAGUCAGUUGUGAAAUCCCCGGGCUCAACCCGGGAACUGCUUCUGAUACUGGCGGACUUGAGGCCAGUAGGGGUCACUAGAACUGACGGUGGGGCGGUGAAAUGCGUAGAUAUCGUCAGGAAUGCCGGUGGUGAAGACGGGUGACUGGGCUGGUUCUGACACUGAGGCACGAAAGCGUGGGGAGCGAACGGG
RNAcentral lists this ribosomal RNA (253 nucleotides) under uncultured bacterium. Its description in RNAcentral is "partial 16S ribosomal RNA". It matches the Rfam family "Bacterial small subunit ribosomal RNA", at positions 524 to 776 of the family's 1533-position model. The record is from RNAcentral.